CCUACGGGUGACAGCAGUCGAGAAUCAUUCACAAUGGGGGAAACCCUGAUGGUGCGACGCCGCGUGGGGGAAUGAAGGUCUUCGGAUUGUAAACCCCUGUCAUGUGGGAGCAAAUUAAAAAGAUAGUACCACAAGAGGAAGAGACGGCUAACUCUGUGCCAGCAGCCGCGGUAAUACAGAGGUCUCAAGCGUUGUUCGGAAUCACUGGGCGUAAGGCGUGCGUAGGCUGUUUCGUAAGUCGUGUGUGAAAGGCGCGGGCUCAACCCGCGGACGGCACAUGAUACUGCGAGACUAGAGUAAUGGAGGGGGAACCGGAAUUCUCGGUGUAGCAGUGAAAUGCGUAGAUAUCGAGAGGAACACUCGUGGCGAAGGCGGGUUCCUGGACAUUAACUGACGCUGAGGCACGAAGGCCAGGGGAGCGAAAGGGAUUAGAUACCUGGGUAGUC
This 446-nucleotide ribosomal RNA is filed under the name uncultured bacterium. RNAcentral's name for it is "partial 16S ribosomal RNA". It matches the Rfam family "Bacterial small subunit ribosomal RNA", at positions 338 to 795 of the family's 1533-position model. The record is from RNAcentral.